GACGAACGCUGGCGGCGUGCCUAACACAUGCAAGUCGAACGGAAGUAAGUGCUUCGGUAUUUACUUUAGUGGCGAACGGGUGAGUAACGCGUGAGGAACCUGCCUUUCAGAGGGGGAUAACAGCCGGAAACGGCUGCUAAUACCGCAUAAUGCAUUGGAUUCGCAUGUUUCUGAUGCCAAAGAUUUUAUCGCUGAAAGAUGAGCUCGCGUCUGAUUAGCUAGUUGGCGGGGUAACGGCCCACCAAGGCGACGAUCAGUAGCCGGACUGAGAGGUUGAACGGCCACAUUGGGACUGAGACACGGCCCAG
Molecule: ribosomal RNA, 308 nt
Filed under: uncultured bacterium
Lineage: Bacteria
Description: bacterial SSU rRNA
Rfam family: Bacterial small subunit ribosomal RNA
Source: RNAcentral